AAAUCGAUUGGACGUAAACAACGAUAAUCUGCCAUUCUAAAUUUUCGCCAGUUUCUUGAUGAAUUUUCCAAAUAAUAAACGUUGCAUACUUUUACAUUUAUACCAGUAAUAUAAUUAACCACGUUGUUGAUAAAAAGAAGCAGAGAUGCCAGGCACUCGAGGUUUACGUCCUACCUCACCAGUGCAUGUACACGUUGACGAUGACAUUCCAGUUCACGUGCAUGUCAAACAGCAAAAGAAGAAAAAACCAGGGACAGUUUCGACUAAGAAAAUUACCAGAAGCACAGUUUCGUCGCGUGCUCGCAGUAAAAGUCCUGGUUCUGGCAACUGGGUUCCUCCCCCUGCAAAGGCUUCAAAAGGCUCCAAAGUAUCCUGGCAGGUGCCUGAGAUAUCAUCUGUUGCAUGGACUGGGGGCCCCACCCACAGGCUGGAGAUCCACACCCCGCGGGAUGCCCUCCGCAUGGAAGACCUCUCCACGGACGAGGAGGACCGAGUCCACAGCGAGAUGAGGCAGUAUGAGAACAAGAUCGAGAACCUCAUGAGCGAAGUCGGUACACUCAAAAAUGAGGUAGAGCUGCAGCGUACUCUACGUGAGAAGGAGCAGACGGAGGAUGAGCUGAACGACUCCCGCCGGGCUCUGGAGGAGCAGGAGCGGGAGAUAGAGGAGUAUCGGGAGGACCUCAAGUACACAGAACGGGAGAACCGCAUCCUCAAGUCCAGUAUGGGCCUCAUACAGGGAGAGGCUGAGGCUGUCAGAGUGGAGGCGGACGUGCUGAAUCAUGAGAGAGAGAAGCUGAUGAAGAAGUUGAUAGAGGUGGAGAUGGACGGACAGUGUGCAGCCAAACAGGCCUCCUCUCUCAGGGACCUCGUGCGCAAGUUCAGACAGGACUCCAGGAUAUCACAGGCAGACAGCGCCAGACUCUCUAAACAGAAGGACCUCCUCCUGGAGAAGCUUGCAGACUUUGAGGCGACCAAUCGCACGCUGCGUAGGAUCCUGCGAGAGCAACACAAGCAGGAGGUGGCUGCCGUGAGGCUGGGAGAGCAGAGGGACAUGCUCAUCAAGAGGCUGGCUGAUACAGAUAUCUCCAAUGAGCGUUUGAAAUCAGAGCUUAUAGACAGAGAUCGCAUGGUUGCAGAGCUGCGUGUACAGAUUGAGUCCAAUAGGGAGGAGAAUGUGGCCUUGACCCGGCUGCAGAGCUCCAUGGAGGCCACAAGGGGUCACUUACAGAAGGAGCUGAGGACCAAGGAGGCUGACUGUAACCGCAUGGCUGUACAGAUACGGUCUAUGGAGAGUGAGAACGCUCAGUGCAAGAUAGAGCUGGACCACCUACGUGACCUUGUUGCCACAGCCAAGGAGCGAGCUGAGAGGGACAAGGAGGCACUCAAGAAGGCCACCAGAGUUCAGAAGCAGAAGGCAGCACUGAGUGAGGACAGAGCAGAUCAGCUGGCAGCAGAACUACUCGAGAAGGAUCACAAACUGGAGGAUGUUCGAACCUCCCUGGAGGAAGUUUCGUUGCGACUCGAGAAGUCCAUCAAGGAGAGAGCACAGUCUGGUGCAGAGAACACGGCCUUGAAGACACGCAUGGAGGAGUUAGAGAGUCUGCUGGAGCGUGUCGACCACAACUCGAAGGCACAGAUUGAGGAGCUCACAGCCAAGCUUCAUAACCGCAACUCCGAGGUGUCCGGACUCAGUCUUGAGAACGAGAGACUUAAGUCAUCUGUAACAACGAUCGAGACCAAGUUUGCGCAGGCUGAUGAGGAGCUCAUGCAACUUAGGUCCAACCUCAAACACUAUGAGAAUCUUGUAGAUGAGUACAAAUCACAGAUGAACCGCUCACGUCGUGACGUUGAAGACACGGAGGCGGAGUUACUGGAAACACGCGAAGACAACAAGCGCUUAAAAGAGGACAGCCAUGCCGAGUUAGAAAAGGUGAAGAGUCAGUUGCAGGACCGACUGCAAGAGUUACAGCCCCUGCCAGAGAUGUUGAAGAACACUGAGCUGAAACUGCAUGAGACAGAGGAUGAGUUGAGACUGAGUGAGCGGAGAAACUCUGAACACACGAGAAUGAUCACAGAGUUGAAUAUUAAGGUUGCCACCCUGACAGACCAGAUAGAGAAGAUGCAGGACAGACUAAGAGGCACCCAGACUGAGAACAGCUCCAUGGGAGAACGCUUCACUACAGUGGAGAGGCGUCUCCAAGAAUCCGAGGACCAGAACCGGGAGCUCUUGACGACGGUUGCUAGGCGAGAGGAGGCUCUGCACCAGACCAAUUUGCGGCUGGAGGAGAGGGAGAGAGAGAACGCCAGUCUGACCCGCCAGCUAGAGAACGCCCUCACAGACCUGAGGAGGCAGCAGGACAACGUCAGAGACAAACAGGCAGCUAAGGAGCGCACGAUGCAGACCCGUCUUGUGGACCUGGAGUCACAGCUGAGCCAGACACGAGCAGAGGUCGCCCGUCUCAAACGAGAGAAGGAGGAGGCCGAGAGGAAGUUCAACUCGAGGCUGUACGAUCUCAAGGAUCGUCUAGAGCAGUCACACAGUACCAACAGAAGCAUGCAGAACUACGUACAGUUCCUCAAGAACUCGUAUGCAAACGUGUUUGGGGACAGUACCGUAAACAUGAUGCCAAACACACCCAUGAGGCAGGGAUAUCCCUAGCCCAUGUCUAUAGACACAUAAGUCUGCCUUUAUUAUUGCAAAUACGGUAUUUUAGUAUUAUUAUAUCUAUAGGGAUUUUUAUUUUUUAUCAAUACAAGAAAAUCAUGUAAUUUGUGAAGAUUUUAUAGAUAAUUUUUUUAUUUUGUUUUUGACAACUUAAAUUAUUUGUGAUUAUUAGGUAUGGUUUUAUUUAAGUUGCAGAACAAUCUUCUUAAACAUACCAAUAGCUGAAGUUAAAUUUAUUAUUUAUUUUAUUGAAUGUAUCAGUUUUGUCACUUACUGCAUAUUAUAUCUUUAAAAGUUCAAUGAAGACUGAGUAAACCUUUUAUAUCAAGAAAAUGUGGUAGAAAUUGCACAUUUUGCUUUUAGCUGAUUUUAUAGUAAUACAAAUUAUAAUGUGUUUCUCUUAUAGAUAUUUUACAUUUAAAGUUUCUUUAAUUAUAACAUUGUUUUCCUUCUUUUUAUUAAAGGUAGCUACGGCUUUAUCAUCUAUUAGAGGCACUAUUUGAUUGCAUUUUUAUGUUAAAGUUUAGGAGUCAAUCAUCUCACCAAAACUGAGCGUUGUUUGGAAUCAACACCCUUGUUUUUAAACCAUGAUUUUUAUUUUAACUGCAAGCUAUUAAUUACUCUUAGAUAAUAGUACAAUACAUAUUGGUUUUGAUAUUUCAAAAGCAUAAAUUAAAAAUAAAAGUAUGUGCUGUUAAUUUUGCAAAAUUAUUUUUUAGUUGAAAAACUAAUUGUUUGGUUUAAUUCAGUUUUAAUGAAUCAUCUGGCAAAAGCAGUGUGGAGUCGACUUCCAAUGGUAACAGUUACAUUACUUCAUGUUACUCAGUUUUGUGUUUUAAGCUGUGAACUGCCAUGAUUUUUGUUGUGUUUCAAUGUGUUUGAUUGUGACCUGCUAAAACUGUUCAUUGAAGAUAUUAAAUAUAGAAAGAAAUGUUGUAAUUGACUUAAUUAUAUGUAAACAUGGAACACUUUUUGUGCGGCAAGCUUCUAGUGGUUUAUGGGUCAUUUCAAAUUUUAAUGUGAAAACCUGGAAGUAUUGGAAUAUUAAACACCGACGUAAUAUCUUAAGAUUGGUUUGAAAAAUUAGGCCUAUUUAUUUUUAUACUAUCAUUUAUCUGUUAAAAUCGUGUUUUUAUUUUCUCCCCUUAAAAAAUAAAGGUAGGUAGUGUGUGUUUUUAUGCUUUAAAACAGUUUUACUGGUUUAUGCUUGUGGGGACAUGUCUACACUUUCAGGUCGUGCUAAAACAUGUCUGUAUAUGUAUUAAACAACCGAAAUCUCGUGGAUCAGGGUGUUUUGCCAGUGUUUGGAGAAUGUACAGUUAUAUUCAUUUUAUUUUAUGUGGAUUUAUUUUAUCUGUGAUAUAGAUUUUUUACUGUUUUAUUUAUACAUGUUUCACAUGUGUUUUGUUGUGAAUGUCAUAAUCAGCUUAUCUUUGAGUUAUGUUUAGUCCUGUUGUUGUCAAUGUUUAUAUUAAAUACAAAUAAAAUAUAAAUUUAAAAAAUAUCAAUAUUACUGUAUGCUGCAUUGCUUUUUCUAUGAGAAAUUAGUUCUAUAUCAUAUAUAUCUGUCAUUAGAGUAGGCAUGACAAGAUUAAUUAAAGAUUGUGCUAAAACAUAGUUUGAUUUUAGGCAGAAUGAUAAUGGUUUAUGAUUUUAAUCAAAUAAGAGUAAAAAAAAACUACUGACUUUCUUAACGUUUUACUAAAACAAAACAAUCUUUAGUCUUUUUUAGAAAUAGUAAAAGUUCCAAACAUAACCAGGCUAUGUAAUACAUGUAUAUGAUUUGCAUUGUAAUAUUGCAAUACAUUUAUCAAUUUUUGCGGAAGACAUUCUGCUUCUAUCCUGUAAUACGGUAUAUGAUAUUUUGCUAUUUAAUUUACAAUAGCAGUUUGGCUACAUAGAUAUUGCUUUUACCAUUAUAGAUUUUUUUAAUGAAUCAUGUGUUUUACAGUUUCGGCGUCUCAUUGUAUAUUUAUAUGAUAGAUAUUAAAUGAAAUAUAGAAAUAAAUGUAAUUUCAUA
Molecule: RNA transcript, 4685 nt
Organism: Dreissena polymorpha
Lineage: Eukaryota; Metazoa; Mollusca; Bivalvia; Myida; Dreissenidae
Gene name: outer dense fiber protein 2-like
Exons: 22
Source: RefSeq, a predicted model, not a curated record